CCUACGGGAGGCAGCAGUGAGGAAUAUUGGUCAAUGGACGAGAGUCUGAACCAGCCAAGUAGCGUGAAGGAUGACUGCCCUAUGGGUUGUAAACUUCUUUUAUAAAGGAAUAAAACGAGGCACGUGUGCCUUUUUGCAUGUACUUUAUGAAUAAGGAUCGGCUAACUCCGUGCCAGCAGCCGCGGUAACACGGAGGAUCCGAGCGUUAUCCGGAUUUAUUGGGUUUAAAGGGAGCGUAGAUGGGUUGUUAAGUCAGUUGUGAAAGUUUGCGGCUCAACCGUAAAAUUGCAAUUGAUACUGGCAGUCGUGAGUACAGUUGAGGUAGGCGGAAUUCGUGGUGUAGCGGUGAAAUGCUUAGAUAUCACGAAGAACCCCGAUUGCGUAGGCAGCUUACUAAACUGUGACUGACAUUGAUGCUCGAAAGUGUGGGUAUCAAACAGGAUUAGAUACCCCUGUAGUC
RNAcentral lists this ribosomal RNA (460 nucleotides) under uncultured bacterium. RNAcentral's name for it is "partial 16S ribosomal RNA". It matches the Rfam family "Bacterial small subunit ribosomal RNA", at positions 338 to 795 of the family's 1533-position model. The record is from RNAcentral.